GGGCCCGCACAAGCGGAGGAACAUGUGGUUUAAUUCGAUGAUACGCGAGGAACCUUACCCGGGCUCGAACGGCUAUAGAAUAAGUAUGAAAGUAUUUAGCCAGCAAUGGCUGUAGUCGAGGUGCUGCAUGGUUGUCGUCAGCUCGUGCCGUGAGGUGUCGGCUUAAGUGCCAUAACGAGCGCAACCCUUAUCUUUAGUUACCAUCAGGUAGAGCUGGGGACUCUAGAGAGACUGCCACCGUAAGGUGCGAGGAAGGUGGGGAUGACGUCAAAUCAGCACGGCCCUUACGUCCGGGGCUACACACGUGUUACAAUGGAUGGGACAGAAGGCAGCUACCGGGCGACCGGAUGCUAAUCCCCAAACCCAUUCCCAGUUCGGAUUGGAGUCUGCAACUCGACUCCCAUGAAGCUGGAUUCGCUAGUAAUCGCGCAUCAGCCAUGGCG
This 443-nucleotide ribosomal RNA is filed under the name uncultured Bacteroidota bacterium. Its description in RNAcentral is "bacterial SSU rRNA". It matches the Rfam family "Bacterial small subunit ribosomal RNA", at positions 917 to 1359 of the family's 1533-position model. The record is from RNAcentral. Lineage: Bacteria; Pseudomonadati; Bacteroidota.